Molecule: long non-coding RNA, 3486 nt
Filed under: Homo sapiens (human)
Lineage: Eukaryota; Metazoa; Chordata; Mammalia; Primates; Hominidae
Description: HSALNT0370864
Source: RNAcentral
AUAAAUAAAUAAACAAACAAAACAACAACAACAACAACAACAAAAAAGCAGUUAAACAUCCUAGGUAAUCUCUAUGCCAGUACUUGGUUGGAAUUAAACUAAGCUAUAAAAGAAAGUUUACAUUUUAUACAUCUCUUUCCCAGGUGAGUCUUGGAAACACUAAAUUGGAUGUUGACAUAUCCACACACCCAGUUAUCACCAGAGAGACAUACAUGAAACCUAAGGGUCCUUAGCAGUGGAAACUCACUACCUGUCCCUCUCUUUCGUAUGAGCCAGCACCCAUCACUGCUACAUGGGAACAGUCCACAUCCACGAGAGCAGCCACAGUUGCCACGGUGAUUAUUCUAAACACAGCAGGUGAUGUAAUUCCCCUUGGGAGUGUGGCAUCAAGCAGAUGAAUUGGGCGCAUUGCAUCUGAUUCAGCCUCUUGAGGAGAAAGACUUCAUACUGAUCCAAAUAGACUCCCGAGAGGCAGAAAGAGGAAAAUGAUAAAUAAAUGCCAGCCAAGCUCUAAAAUGGAACACUCUAGCUGUGUGGCCACUGAAGCGUGAGUGGCUGAAACGAAGAGAAUGGACAUGGAGCCCACCCGGAAGAGCACCCUUAACAUCAUCAUAUCCCUGAAGCACGAGUCGGGGUGGUGGGACUGCCCUGGAAACCCUGCACACAGCUGGCUUGAGCAGUGGGUAUUUUCAUAAGGCAUAUAUGGGCAUCACAGAACACUUGGAGCUUUAAUGAAGACAGCUGCCAUUCUGUGAGCUGUUCUAUGAAGGAGCCCACUUGGCAAGGAACUGGGGGAGGUCUCAGAUUAACAGCCAGCAAGAAACUGAAUCCUGCUAACAACCACCUGAAUGAACAUGAAAGCAGACCCUUCCCCAAUUGAGUCUUCAGAUGAGACCCAGUGCUCACCUGCACCUAGGUUGGAGCCCUAAGAGAAACCUUGAAGCAGAGGAACCAGCUUAACCUGAUCCAUGGAAACUAUAAAAUAAAAUGUGUGUUGUUUAAACUGCUAAAUUUCUGGAAACUUAUUACCCAGCAGUACAUAUCUAGUGUAUAAGGAUUUACCAGAAGAAAAUAAUCAUGGAUGUGUGCAAAGAUCUAAACACAAUGACGUUCACUGCAAAUUUUUUAAUAAUUGAGAACAUUUGGAAACAGUGUAAAUGUCAAUGAAUAUAAGGCUGGAGAAAUCAAUUAUAAUACAGGUGAACCAUAUGAAAUCAUUUUUGCAGGUUAAAAAAGGUCGAAUAGCACUAAUUUUAUGUGUUUCAACCUAAUGCAUUCGUAUGAUAUGGACAUGAAAAUAGUAUUUAUGAAAAAUACAAUAUGGGGGAACAUCAUAAAAUUUCAUGAUAUAUUGUUAAGUGAGAAAAAUGGCUUAUAAAGCAAUGAAAAUAUGAUUGUAAUUUUGUGAGAGAGAUAUACAGAUAUGCAUAGAGAAAAAGACUGCAGAUAUACCAAUAAAAAGUGAAUAAUGUUUACCUUCAAAUUUUAGAAUUUGGGGUGAUUUUUAUAUUCUUUUUUUCUGUACUUCUGACAACAGACUUUUUUUUGUAAUCAAAAAGCAAGAUUAAUUAAUACAAGUCAACAAUGGAAUAAAUUCCUAAGCCAGAACUAAACUCUCUGUUUAGAACACUGUCCCUUGUUGCUCACAAAUCACUCUGCCUGAUUUCCUGGGCUUACAGAAUCCCUGAGAGUGUGUUUAGAGGUGCCCUGUGAUAUCAUCAACAGCUCUACCGGAUUACUUCUUUGCCUUACGGAAAUCUGUUAUCCUCCCUUGUGGGGAGGUUCUUCCCAUCCUGUGUCAUACCCUUGGUUCUUUGAGUUGCUCUCUCCAAAUCCCUUGGUUCCUGACAUUUCAUAAUGCUGGGCAGUAGAGGGGAUUUUGAGGAAAACAUGUGUGCUGAAAGAAUGUGGAAAAUCACUAUGCAUUUUUCUCUCGCAUUUCAGUUACCUCUGCCCUUCUGUUGCUGUUCCGUUUCAUUUGUUACCCAGCUAAUAACCCUAUUAGAAAGCUGAAACGUUCCCCAGCUUAGUCAAGAAUGGCUGAUGGAUUUUCUCUCUCAGACUCCAGAAAUGCCUUGGGACAGCUGCAUGGGUCCCCAGGUAUGGGCCAUUAGCUGGAAGGUCAUCCUCACUGAGAAACCUAUUCCCCUACAUUAGAAUUCGCUCCUACCAGAUUUACCUGGUGCUGUCUGCCUACUGUGUCUCUGACCCUGCCAUGUCUGCAUUUAAUCCAAGGCUCCCAUUACCUGGAGGAGAAGGGGAUCUGUGUGAUGUGAUUUUGGCAUAUUCGGCAAGUUCCAUCACCAUCAAAACAUGUUUUAUCACUGCAGGAAGAAACAAACGUGUAGGAGAAGAGUGAGUUGGUGACUCUCUACAUUUUCUUUCCCUGAGAAAGGUCUUAAAAUACUUCAACUUCAAAGCUAAGUCUAGUUUGUAACAAGAUGGAUUUAGGCCAACCAGAAAGACAAGGAUCACUUCUGUUUGACUCACCAGGCAUCUAUGACAGUCCCUGGCACAGAGAGGGCUCCUAAUGAAUGGUUGUUGAAUGCCUCAGUGGUUGUUGAAUGACUCAUUGGUUGUUGAAUGGAUGACAUGAAAAAUUUCUAGCACAUUAUUAGCUUGGAAUUUUCACCUAUUGGUCCAAAUUCUUAUCUUGGCAAUCACACGGCACAAAACUUCUCUCCUCUGUUUGCUCACAUGCUUGCAUCUUCAUGUCUUCAUCAGGGCUUAGCAUACCCAGCGCCUUCAAUCACUCUUAGAAUAGUAUCAUUUUCCACUCAGUGACAAAGGAGAAAUCACUGUCCUUGUCCUUUGCUUUGAUUAAGGAAAUUAGAGUGGGAAUAAGGGAGCAGGUUCUGGUGGGAGUAUAUGUAAGCCAUGCUUCUCCUUCUUCCUUGAGGGAAUGGGGAUGGUGUAAUGCCUACCCAUCCCUCUCAUGAAAAAAGAUAUUGUGAGUUAUUUCUCACCUUUGCAUAUGGGGCACAGUAUUUUCCCACCUGUGUGCUUUUUGCAGUGGUGGCCUUCUUCGUUGUCCCUUUCUGUCUCUAAGAUCCCUGCUAUUUUCCUGCUCCUUUUUAUGGAGCAAUUCUCACUGUGUGUCCUCACCAUAAUCCCUCCUGCUAUGUUGAAACCCCAGGCAAAGUGUCUAUCAGCUAUAACUUGGCAAGUCCAGUGUUUCUCUCAUCUUGCCUAUAGCCUGGGAUCACCGAUUCAAAUUUAUUUUCCUUCAAGGCCUUUUCUUCCAAAAAGUCUCUCCUGCAUGUGCAGCCCACUGUUGUCUCUCCUCCCGAAUUUGUGGUGCAUUUAUAUCUGGGGACAGCAUGGUACAAUAAACACAGCAUGGACUUUGGAGCCAGGGUGACCCAGGUUCAAAUCCUGGCUCUGGAAUUUGUCCAUUGUAGGUAUGUACAGAUGAGUUGCUGUACUAGUCCAUUUUCAUGCUGCUGAUAAAGAUAUACCUGAGCCUGAGGAAUUUACAAAAGAAAG